UACGUAGGGGGCAAGCGUUGUCCGGAUUUAUUGGGCGUAAAGAGCGUGUAGGCGGCCAGACAGGUCCGUUGUGAAAACUGGAGGCUCAACCUCCAGACGUCGAUGGAAACCGUCUGGCUAGAGUCCGGAAGAGGAGAGUGGAAUUCCUGGUGUAGCGGUGAAAUGCGCAGAUAUCAGGAAGAACACCCGUGGCGAAGGCGAGUCUCUGGACAUUUCCUGACGCUGAGGCACGAAAGCCAGGGGAGCAAACGGG
This 253-nucleotide ribosomal RNA is filed under the name uncultured bacterium. RNAcentral describes it as "partial 16S ribosomal RNA". It matches the Rfam family "Bacterial small subunit ribosomal RNA", at positions 524 to 776 of the family's 1533-position model. The record is from RNAcentral.